UGGUACUGUAAUUGAUAAGGCAUGAAU
RNAcentral lists this non-coding RNA (27 nucleotides) under Rattus norvegicus (Norway rat). The record is from RNAcentral. Lineage: Eukaryota; Metazoa; Chordata; Mammalia; Rodentia; Muridae.